CAAAUGAGCCUUGGAAACGGCCUUCCUUUGCCGCUAUCAUGGAAUCUUUGAAAGUAUUGAUUAAACCCCCUACGCCUCCAACUGGUCAAGCGGAAAUACCAUUACUUGCCUGAAGUCCUGAAUAAUGUUGAACACCAGUGAAGUUUUCUUUUGUACACAUAAUACACAUUCUUUUGACAUUUGACAUCUGGCAGGGAUAAGAUCUAUUUAGACACUAUCAG
Molecule: unclassified non-coding RNA, 221 nt
Filed under: Hevea brasiliensis (rubber tree)
Lineage: Eukaryota; Viridiplantae; Streptophyta; Magnoliopsida; Malpighiales; Euphorbiaceae
Source: RNAcentral